GAAAUGCGAUACGUAAUGUGAAUUGCAGAUUUCAGUGAAUCAUCGAAUCUUUGAACGCACAUUGCGCCCGCCAGUAUUCUGGCGGGCAUGCCUGUUCGAGCGUCAUUUCAACCAUCAAGCUUCGCUUGUGUUGGGGCCCCGCGGCUGCCGCGGUCCCCUAAAUCCAGUGGCGGGCUCGUCGUCGUACCGAGCGCAGUAAACAUCCUCGCUCCGGGAACCCGACGGGUGCCGGCCGUGAAACCCCCCACAUCAAGGUUGACCUCGGAUCAGGUAGGAAUACCCGCUGAACUUAA
RNAcentral lists this unclassified non-coding RNA (293 nucleotides) under uncultured Ascomycota. Its description in RNAcentral is "sequence contains ITS1". The stretch from base 1 to 105 matches the Rfam family "5.8S ribosomal RNA", at positions 50 to 154 of the family's 154-position model. The record is from RNAcentral. Lineage: Eukaryota; Fungi; Ascomycota.